This 1005-nucleotide long non-coding RNA is filed under the name Coturnix japonica (Japanese quail). RNAcentral describes it as "lncRNA (ENSCJPG00005002015.1)". The record is from RNAcentral. Lineage: Eukaryota; Metazoa; Chordata; Aves; Galliformes; Phasianidae.
CUCCAGGUCAGGGUCAGCGCUGUGGGGUGGAUCUCCAACACUCGCACAUCGCGGGGAGGGUCUGGCCGGUCUGUAGGACCAGUAUGGACCAGUAUGGACCAGUAUGGACCAGUAUGGAUGGGUAUAAACCGGUAUGAACCAGUAUGGACCAGUAUGGACCAGUAUGGAUGGGUAUAAACCAGUAUGAACCAGUAUGGACUAGUAUGGACCAGUAUGGAUGGGUAUAAACCAGUAUGAACCAGUAUGGACCAGUAUGGACCAGUAUGGAUGGGUAUAAACCGGUAUGAACCAGUAUGGACCAGUAUGGACCAGUAUGGAUGGGUAUAAACCGGUAUGAACCAGUAUGGACCAUUAUAAACCAGUAUGCACCAGUGUGAGCCAGUACAAACCAGUAUGGGUCAGUAUGGACCAUUAUAAACCACUGUGGACCAUUAAAAACCAGUAUGGACCAGUAUGGAUCGGUAUAAACCAGUAUGGACCAGUAUAAACCAAUAGGGACCAGUGUGAACUAGUCCCUCCCAGUCCUCCCGGUUCACCCCAUUUCCCCAUCAAUCCCCUCCCAGUCCCUCCCAGUAUCCCCAUAUUCCCUCCCAGUCCCCCCAUAUAUUCCCCCUCCCAGCGCCCCCAGUCCCCUCCUGCUCUUUCCCAGUAGCUCCCAUUCCCUCCCAUUCCCUCCCAGUCCCUCCCAGUGACCCCAGUCCCCCCUCAGUCACAUUCCCAUUCCCUCCCAGUGCUCCCAGUCCCUCCCAGUCCCUCCCAGUCCCCUCCCUGUGCCUCCCAUUCCCUCCCAAUUCAUCCCAGUCCACCCCAGUUCCCCCCAUUUGCCCCUCCCAGUCCCUCCCAGUUGCUCCCAUUCCUUCCCAUCCCCUCCUAUUCCCCUCCCAGUGCUCCCAGUCCCCCCUAAAUUCCAUUCCCAUCCCUCCCAGUUCCUCCCAGUUCCCUCCCAGUUCCCUCCCAGUUCCUCCCAGUUCCCUCCCAGUUCCCUCCCAGUCCCUCCCAGUUCCC